Molecule: ribosomal RNA, 1907 nt
Filed under: Triticum aestivum (bread wheat)
Lineage: Eukaryota; Viridiplantae; Streptophyta; Magnoliopsida; Poales; Poaceae
Description: partial small subunit ribosomal RNA
Source: RNAcentral
UGGGCGGCCGAGUUGAGCUUGCGCCAAAAUGAACCGAUGGCGGCGAAUUUUCUGCGGUCGGUCGGUUGGUGACUUGGUGUUGCGUUGUGGUGGUGCGUUGCGUAGGGCGAGGUAGGUAGCGGUGUGUGGGUGGGGCGUGUGCAGAGACGCACGCAUGCACGGCUCGAGACUGGCCUCCUGCCUGUCUGCCUGCUGCCCGUACCACGUGGUGGUGGCCCGCUGGGAGGACGGCGUGGUGUAGGUGUUGCUCCUCUUCCUCGUCCGCCUGCUCUACUUCCUCGAGGCCCCGGUCGACCCCCUGAUGCGCACGGCGGUGGCCUUCGUGCCGGUGCUGCGCGAGGAGGAGUACGAGCGGCCGAAGCGGAAGCAGAGGACGGACGAGGAGGAGGAGGGGUUGUCGGGGAAGAGGCGGCGGUACCUGCUGGAGGACGUCGAGCCGGCGUGCGCGGCCACGCUGGUCCUCUACCGCGGGUGCGGCGGCCGCGGGACGCGCCCCCACGGGUUGCCGUGGCAGACGACGCUGGCGCCGAGCGGGGCGCGGCUGGAGACGCAGUACGCGCCCCUGCAGGCGUGGGUGCGGCGGAGGUUGUGGGAGAAGGACGAGCGGCGGCGGCGGAGCCGGCUGCUCGCGUAGGCGGGGAUGUGGGCGUUCACCCUCAGGUCGCAGUACUCGUGGUAGCUGCUCGACGCGGAGGCCCGGCACGGGCAGGGGCUGGGGCUCCCGCGACGUGCGACGCUGCAGGCCGUGCUGCAGGGGCGGCAGCAGAAGAGGUGGCCGCCGAUGUGGCCGUUGCACAUGGUGCUCAAGUUGCUGCCGUAGUAGGGCGAGAUGUAGUGGCGCGCGGCCAUGUUGUCCUUCCACCACAAGCAGUACGAGCUCAUGGUGCUGACCACCUACUGGUUCAUGCCGGUGUAGCAGCUCGUCGAGAGGCUGAAGGGCGGCCAGCUGAAGAGGUUGCUGUGCGCGUGCGUGACGAAGGGCCUCCGGCAGCAGCCGGACGCGUAGGUGCUGCUCGAGCGGUAGCUGCGCAGCGCCUACGGCCCUUCGGUCCCGUAGGCCCUGAAGGCCGUGUACGAGCUGCUGCGCGUGGCGCCGGCGUAGUUGCGCUAGUAGCUCCUCCUCUUGCGGCGCGGUGUUCGUCGCGGCCGCCGCCGCCGUGAUCGCUUCUUUGCGUAGUGCCUCGUCGAGCGCCAGCUGCUGUCCGGCGCCGACCACUAGCACAGGGCCUUGCCCAGCGCGCGCUAGCUCUUGCUCAACCUCGACCGCGCACGCCGCCGCUCCCGGCCCAAGGCCCACUGGCACGAGGCCGGCGCGGGCCUGUGCCUCGAGCGCGUCUACAUGGCGCACGACUUGCCGAGCCUGCACUACCACCCGCACGUGCCGCGCCGGUACUGCGUGAAGGAGAAGUACGCGGGCCCCAGGCGGAAGUAGGUCCACCACGGCGAGCCCUGACUGACCCGGCGGCUCUUGAUGAUGCCGCUCGGCCGCGCCGCCGAGCCGGACGUGAUGUAGGGGAUGUUCUAGGACGGCAGGCUCUCGAGCGACAAGGCCGCUAUGCGGUCCCUGCUGGGGCACGAGUGGCUGGGCCAGCGGCAGUUGCGGUUCCCUACCGUCCAGUGGUUCUUCCACAUGGAGCUGCCCGUCUUGCACGCCGAGCUGUACCGCGCCAAGGCCGCUGCCGACGCGCUCCGGAUGCUAGUGACCCGCCGCGUCGCCGCCGCGGUCGUCUCGGUUGGCAACAUCGUACCCGCCACAAGUAUGAGGUAUGCAAAAAGAAACAAGAAAAAAAAAAGGAAGGUCUCUCUUCUACGUACUAUGACAUAUCUUUUUUAUAAAAACAACAAGUGCUCUCAGAUUCAUUUGCGGAGGCACCUUCUGCGAGACGACGACGAGGUGGUUGUCAGUC